AGAUUAUAUUUUAGUGAACAGCUCUUUAAUUUUAUAGGCAGAGCACUCAAUCGGUGUCAUUGAGCAAAAUUAUUAAUGCUUAUUUAUGCUUCUUGAAUUAAGCUGCUUUUUGGUAAUUAUUCAUAAAGUCACUGCCUUUUUCAGAAGAAUUAAACUCACUAGUAGUUAGAAACAUGGAAUUUAGCAUAUAUGAUUUUAUGUGCAUAUUGAGAUUGUAGUCCCCCUUGCUAAAUUGAUGUGGAUCUAUAACUGUAAGGAAGCUUAUUACUUUAUGGUUUAAUAUCCAGCACAAAGCGUGUAAAUAAAAUAAAUAGCAUGUUGUCUUUAUCUUCAAAGGCAUUAUAUUGUACUUCUAGCAAGUGCACCAACAGAAAAACAACGCCUGGAAUGGGUGGGCUUGGUGGAAUCAAAAAUCCGAAUCCUGGUUGGAAGCUUGGAGAAGAAUGAAUUUAUUACACUGGCUCAUGUGAAUCCCCAGUCAUUUCCAGCACCCAAAGAAAAUCCCGACAAGGAAGAAUUUCGCACGAUGUGGGUGAUUGGGUUAGUGUUUAAAAAAACAGAAAACUCUGAAAACCUCAGUGUUGAUCUCACCUAUGAUAUUCAGUCUUUCACAGAUACAGUUUAUAGGCAAGCAAUAAACAGCAAGAUGUUUGAGGUGGAUAUGAAAAUUGCUGCAAUGCAUGUAAAAAGAAAGCAACUCCAUCAACUACUACCUAAUCAUGUGCUUCAGAAAAAGAAAAAGCAUUCAACAGAAGGUGUCAAAUUGACAGCUCUCAAUGACAGCAGCCUCGACUUGUCUAUGGACA
This 806-nucleotide small RNA is filed under the name Pan troglodytes (chimpanzee). RNAcentral's name for it is "retained intron". Lineage: Eukaryota; Metazoa; Chordata; Mammalia; Primates; Hominidae. The record is from RNAcentral.